AUGAAUAAAUUUGGUCGAGCUGUUGCUGGCCCUUCGGGGCAUGUGCACGCUUGCCACCAAUUUUAUAACCACCUGUGCACCUUUGUAGACUAGAAUCAAUUCUCGAGGCAACUCGGAUUGAGAACUGCGGUGUUCAAAGCCAGCUGUUCUUGUGUUUCUCAGUCUAUGUUUUCAUAUACUCCAUUGUAUGUAUCAGAAUGUAUUGUUAGGCCUUUAGUGCCUUUAAAUCAAAUA
Molecule: unclassified non-coding RNA, 234 nt
Filed under: soil metagenome
Description: partial internal transcribed spacer 1
Source: RNAcentral